Molecule: ribosomal RNA, 940 nt
Filed under: uncultured Ascomycota
Lineage: Eukaryota; Fungi; Ascomycota
Description: eukaryotic LSU rRNA
Rfam family: Eukaryotic large subunit ribosomal RNA
Source: RNAcentral
AGGUUGACCUCGGAUCAGGUAGGGAUACCCGCUGAACUUAAGCAUAUCAAUAAGCGGAGGAAAAGAAACCAACAGGGAUUGCCUCAGUAACGGCGAGUGAAGCGGCAACAGCUCAAAUUUGAAAUCUGGCUCUUUCAGGGUCCGAGUUGUAAUUUGUAGAAGAUGCUUCGGGUGUGGCUCCGGUCUAAGUUCCUUGGAACAGGACGUCAUAGAGGGUGAGAAUCCCGUAUGUGACUGGCUGCCUCCGCCCAUGUGAAGCUCUUUCGACGAGUCGAGUUGUUUGGGAAUGCAGCUCAAAAUGGGUGGUAAAUUUCAUCUAAAGCUAAAUAUUGGCCAGAGACCGAUAGCGCACAAGUAGAGUGAUCGAAAGAUGAAAAGCACUUUGGAAAGAGAGUUAAACAGUACGUGAAAUUGUUGAAAGGGAAGCGCUUGCAAUCAGACUUGCGCGCGGUCGAUCAUCCGGUGUUCUCACCGGUGCACUCGAUCGUGCUCAGGCCAGCAUCGGUUUCGGUGGUUGGAUAAAGGCCUUGGGAAUGUGGCUCCUUUCGGGGAGUGUUAUAGCCCUCGGUGCAAUGCAGCCUACCGGGACCGAGGACCGCGCUUCGGCUAGGAUGCUGGCGUAAUGGUUGUAAGCGACCCGUCUUGAAACACGGACCAAGGAGUCUAACAUCUAUGCGAGUGUUUGGGUGUCAAACCCAUACGCGUAAUGAAAGUGAACGGAGGUGAGAACCCUUAAGGGUGCAUCAUCGACCGAUCCUGAUGUCUUCGGAUGGAUUUGAGUAAGAGCAUAGCUGUUGGGACCCGAAAGAUGGUGAACUAUGCCUGAAUAGGGUGAAGCCAGAGGAAACUCUGGUGGAGGCUCGCAGCGGUUCUGACGUGCAAAUCGAUCGUCAAAUUUGGGUAUAGGGGCGAAAGACUAAUCGAACCAUCUAGUAGCUGG